CAAGGCGUUUAUGACUGUUAUCCUGAUUUGUUUUUCAACGAAAAUGUCUGUAUUUCAUCUAUAAAUGUGAAUAAUAAUAUAUUGUAUAGUUUUAUACAGUGCAAAACUGCAGACAAAACCAUUUUAUCGAUAGCGGUUCGUCUAGAAUGAAUUAAAACGCAGGCGCCACCGUGCAGGAAGUAAGUAACCUUCGUAUUUGUAUUAUUUACAUAAUUAUUUUAUUUAUAUG
Non-coding RNA from Cinara cedri, 229 nucleotides. NCBI's taxonomy places the organism in Eukaryota, Metazoa, Arthropoda, Insecta, Hemiptera, Aphididae. The record is from the annotation of a GenBank genome assembly.